GCAGAGGGAUAGCCCAGAGAAAUUUGGAUUAAUACCUCAUAGUAUGUGAGGAUGGCAUCAUUUCACAUUAAAGUCACAACGGCAAAAGAUGAGCAUGCGUCCCAUUAGCUAGUUGGUAAGGUAACGGCUUACCAAGGCUACGAUGGGUAGGGGUCCUGAGAGGGAGAUCCCCCACACUGGUACUGAGACACGGACCAGACUCCUACGGGAGGCAGCAGUGAGGAAUAUUGGACAAUGGGCGCAAGCCUGAUCAGCCAUGCCGCGUGCAGGAUGACGGUCCUAUGGAUUGUAAACUGCUUUUGUACAGGAAGAAACACUACUUCGUGAAGUAGCUUGACGGUACUGUAAGAAUAAGGAUCGGCUAACUCCGUG
RNAcentral lists this ribosomal RNA (372 nucleotides) under uncultured bacterium. RNAcentral describes it as "bacterial SSU rRNA". It matches the Rfam family "Bacterial small subunit ribosomal RNA", at positions 135 to 507 of the family's 1533-position model. The record is from RNAcentral.